CCUACGGGGUGCAGCAGCCGGGAAUCAUCUGCAAUACGCGCAAGCGUGACAGUUUGAACUGGAGUGCUUUCCAAAUGGAAAGCUUUUGUGAAAUGUAAAAAGUUUUACGAAUAAGGACUGGGUAAGACGAGUGCCAGCCGCCGCGGUAAUACUCGCGGUCCAAGUCGCAGCCAUUUUUAUUGGGUCUAAAACAUCCGUAGCUUGCUUUGCAAGUUCUCUGUGAAAUCCCGUUUCUCAAGGGCGGGGCGAGCAAAGAAUACUACAAUAGCUAGAGACUGGAAGACGUAAGAAGUAUGUUCGAAGUAGCGGUAAAAUGUGUUAAUCUCGGACAGACUAACAAGAGCGAAGGCAUCUUACGAGGACAGUUCUGACAGUAAGGGAUGAAGGCCAGGGUCGCGAAAGGGAUUAGAUACCCCCGUAGUCC
This 424-nucleotide ribosomal RNA is filed under the name uncultured organism. Its description in RNAcentral is "bacterial SSU rRNA". It matches the Rfam family "Archaeal small subunit ribosomal RNA", at positions 322 to 747 of the family's 1478-position model. The record is from RNAcentral.